This is a long non-coding RNA of Apodemus sylvaticus (European woodmouse), 776 nucleotides long. RefSeq lists it as uncharacterized. The transcript has 3 exons. The record is from RefSeq and is a predicted model, not a curated record. Lineage: Eukaryota; Metazoa; Chordata; Mammalia; Rodentia; Muridae.
AGGGACAGAGAAUGAAAGAGGGAGUCAUUGAGAAAAGGCACAGAUCAUGAGAGGUGGAAAUACUGUCCUUAGAGGGGAACUGAGCGAAGCCAAGGAACCCUCCUGUAACUGAGGAUUCAGAAAAUUCGUUGUCUACUAACUAGAAAGGAGGUGUUUGCCAGACUCAUACUCCACCGGCACCUCGACAUUUAACUUCUCAGAAUGCAGAAUUGUGAGACUAAAUCUCUGCUGUGGUUAAGAUGCCCAGUUUAUGACAGCUCGGGAACAAGGCGAUCUGUCCCUUUGCCAGUGCCAGAGAUGGCAGCUGGCCCUGCUGAUGUCAGAGGCGGUGAGGCCAACUGCGGCAGUUUGUACGGGUGGCCGCAGAGAUGCUGAAGCAGCAAGCCAGCCUGGGGGCACAGCAUUGUCCUCCCAGGGACACCAGAGGGAAGCUACACACACUCUACAUAGCUCUGCACGCCAGAGGCUCACUGUGUAGGUCUGGCCAUCUCAUGUAUGGGCUCGGGGUCCGAAAGGAGCAAGAAGCCGAGGACAGCUCGAGUGCCAUGUUCGUCUCUCUGCUUCCGGACUGCACACGCUCACCCAGCUCCGCACACGCUCACCCAGCUCCGCACAUGCUCACCCGGCUCCGCACACGCUCACCCAGCUCCGCACACACUCAUCUGGCUCUGCUUCCUGACCGCAGAUACUGAAGGGCCCGACGGCUACCUCACGCUCCUGUGGUCACACCCUCCUCACUGUGAACAACUGGCCCCCGGGAGCUAAAAUAAACCCUU